RNAcentral lists this ribosomal RNA (250 nucleotides) under uncultured bacterium. RNAcentral describes it as "partial 16S ribosomal RNA". It matches the Rfam family "Bacterial small subunit ribosomal RNA", at positions 32 to 265 of the family's 1533-position model. The record is from RNAcentral.
AAUCAACGCUGGCGGCGUGCCUAACACAUGCAAGUCGAACGCGAAAAGGGCUUCGGCCCCUAGUAGAGUGGCGAACGGGUGAGUAACGCGUGGGUGACCUACCUUCGAGUGGGGGAUAACGUCCCGAAAGGGACGCUAAUACCGCAUGACAUCCUGUCCUUGAACGGAUGGAGAUCAAAGCCGGGGAUCGCAAGACCUGGCGCUUGAAGAGGGGCCCGCGUCCGAUUAGCUAGUUGGUGGGGUAAUGGCU